RNAcentral lists this transfer RNA (49 nucleotides) under Furfurilactobacillus rossiae DSM 15814. RNAcentral's name for it is "Lactobacillus rossiae DSM 15814 tRNA". It matches the Rfam family "tRNA", at positions 24 to 71 of the family's 71-position model. From Rfam's summary of the family: Transfer RNA (tRNA) molecules are approximately 80 nucleotides in length. Their secondary structure includes four short double-helical elements and three loops (D, anti-codon, and T loops). Lineage: Bacteria; Bacillati; Bacillota; Bacilli; Lactobacillales; Lactobacillaceae. The record is from Rfam by way of RNAcentral.
CAAUGGAUUGAAGCUCCAUGUGUCGGCGGUUCGAUUCCGUCCCGCGCCA